Molecule: ribosomal RNA, 490 nt
Filed under: uncultured bacterium
Lineage: Bacteria
Description: partial 16S ribosomal RNA
Rfam family: Bacterial small subunit ribosomal RNA
Source: RNAcentral
AUUGAACGCUGGCGGCAGGCCUAACACAUGCAAGUCGAACGGUAACAGGAAGCAGCUUGCUGCUUCGCUGACGAGUGGCGGACGGGUGAGUAAUGUCUGGGAAGCUGCCUGAUGGAGGGGGAUAACUACUGGAAACGGUAGCUAAUACCGCAUAAUGUCGCAAGACCAAAGAGGGGGACCUUCGGGCCUCUUGCCAUCGGAUGUGCCCAGAUGGGAUUAGCUUGUUGGUGGGGUAACGGCUCACCAAGGCGACGAUCCCUAGCUGGUCUGAGGGGAUGACCAACCACACUGGGACUGAGACACGGUCCAGACUCCUACGGGAGGCAGCAGUGGGGAAUAUUGCACAAUGGGCGCAAGCCUGAUGCAGCCAUGCCGCGUGUAUGAAGAAGGCCUUCGGGUUGUAAAGUACUUUCAGCGGGGAGGAAGGGAGUAAAGUUAAUACCUUUGCUCAUUGACGUUACCCGCAGAAGAAGCACCGGCUAACUCCGUG